AGGAAUAGCUGAGUGGUAGGGCACGUGCUUAGCAUGCACAAGGUCCUGGGUUCAAUUCACAGUACCU
RNAcentral lists this transfer RNA (67 nucleotides) under Camelus bactrianus (Bactrian camel). It matches the Rfam family "tRNA". Rfam says of the family: Transfer RNA (tRNA) molecules are approximately 80 nucleotides in length. Their secondary structure includes four short double-helical elements and three loops (D, anti-codon, and T loops). Lineage: Eukaryota; Metazoa; Chordata; Mammalia; Artiodactyla; Camelidae. The record is from Rfam by way of RNAcentral. RNAcentral also lists the same sequence under 1 other name.